Non-coding RNA from Penaeus vannamei (Pacific white shrimp), 944 nucleotides. The record is from RefSeq and is a predicted model, not a curated record. NCBI's taxonomy places the organism in Eukaryota, Metazoa, Arthropoda, Malacostraca, Decapoda, Penaeidae.
UGGGAUUCCAAUCGUCUUCUUCUUCAUCUGUCUGUUCCUCGUCGUCUUUCCUAUAGUGGAGCGCCCCGUGGAGCUGGGUAUCGCCAGUGGCAUCUUCUUCGCUGGAGUCCCCGUGUAUUACCUGUGUGUUCAUAGGGCGAAUAGGUCCAAGAAGUUCUGUGCAUUUAUGGGAAAAUUUACGUCCGUUAUCCAGCUGCUGUACCAUGGACUUCCCGAAGAAGAUGAUGAAUGUGAUUGAAAAGCUUAUUGUUAAGAUAUUAUUGACAAAUGAUGAUGAAUGGCAUCAAGGAAAGAACUGUAAUUGGUGUAAUUUGAUUUAUAACUUUACGUAAUUACAUGCAAUAACCAUAAUAUAUAUCGAGAUGCGUGAAGUAGGCCUACAUCUGUUUUGUGAAUUUAAUAAUUCUCAUUUAUUUCUUUAUUCAUCUUACGUGAGAAUUAAAGAUCUGGCGUAGAAUAAUUAUAAGAUUGAAGUAAUUGUUGCAGUAUUAGUGAAAUUUCUUUCUCAUUAUUAUUAGUAUUUUUUUUUCUUUUUAAUAGUAAUAGAAGUAGCAGUAAAAGCAGCAGUAGUAGUAGUAACUGUAGUAGUAGUAGUAGUAGUAGUAGGUUUUUUUUAGUAGUCGUAGUGGUAUUAAGUUAGAUUUAAGAUGAAUAUUUGCCUUCACUUAUUAUUUGAAGCUUCUUGUUACUUUUGCCUUUGAGAAAUCUCUCUAUAUUUCUACAAUUCCUUUCUAUAGUUCAAUAGAUAUUACGUAUUGUCUCACAUUCCAGUGUAAGUGUUCACCAACAUAUGGCUCAUAAUACUUAAUGUGAAUAAGUGUAUAUAAACUUCACAUAUGCUGGACAGUUAUCGUUUUAGAUAACUUCCCACUACACGAGCAUCUUGUGUAGGGAAAGGCUAGAUCAGUAGCAACUCGAGGAGGUGUCAUGGCGUCUGAUUCCAU